RNAcentral lists this long non-coding RNA (17812 nucleotides) under Eucalyptus grandis. RNAcentral's name for it is "long non-coding RNA (EGRA_LNC004501)". Lineage: Eukaryota; Viridiplantae; Streptophyta; Magnoliopsida; Myrtales; Myrtaceae. The record is from RNAcentral.
AAUGCGCCAAUCUCUUUAUCUAUGUCGGUAAGGGCGAUAUAACCAUUCUUUUCCCUCCUCUUGACGGCCAAAAAGCAAGACCUUGCGUAGAUCACCAGUAAAAAACAUGCCGUGGGAACAACGACCAGUAUCCAUAACCGGCGAGGUUCAUCUACGUCGUCCAAAUCCGAAGUGAACUCCCAUGAAUUGACGCUGUGUCUCUCUGGAUCGCGGCCGAAAGAAGCUGAGAACCCGAUCGCUGCAAAUUCAGGAAGGACUCUUGCCAGAUCAACAAGGUAAGAAAGCGAGUGAUGGGCCUUGCCGUCGAACGACCAGAACACGCUGAGGUUCUUGCUCACAGAAUUGUAGGUCACGUUAACAUUGACCGCUUUCCCGCUGUGCGAUCCGGGAUCCCAGCGGGCAUAAAUGAGCGACGAGAGACUGUUCUGAUUGAUUCCUAUGUGAUGCACUGGAGGAUCAAACUCCCAGUUCACAUAGGUGUCGAACUCGACCAUAACGAUCUGGUUCCGAGGCCCCUCAUUAGCCGUGGUACCGUUGAACAAUCCCAGGAAUUGUCCAGGUGAGUUGGGUGGGAUCGGGAUCCCGACAGGAGCGAGGAAGAAGGCGAUGCCAUCACUGUACUGAGCAGAGCCGUCAGUCUCGAUGGUGAACGAGAAACAGGUUGAGAAGUUCGCUUGGCGCCUCGUGACAGGAUCCCCUAUGCGGACAGGCUUGGCGUACUUAAUCCGCCCAAUUUGGUAGCCAUGCUCAGGAUGGAGGCGGGUGAGAUCGACAUGUCCAUACGUGACCUCCGAAACUCCCUCGUACAAUAUGUCCCCCCUAUCCGUGUCGAAGCUGCUUAUGUUGAAGUAGAGAGGGGCAACACAGGGGAUCAAAGGACAGCAGACAAGGCAGAACAAGAACAAGCGAGCUUGCAAAGAAAGAGAACGGGGAGUCGCGCGCGGCAUACUUAAGACGGGCUUUGGUGGGAAUUGGAUCACCGAAACUGCGAGAUCUAUAGGUUACAUUAGGGAGCUUUAAAAUGAACCCGAGCGUACCUAAUGGCUUACCGGACACGGCGAGCAAUCAUAGAUCAAGCAGCUUCUAUGAUAGCUCCUUAUUUUCUGCUAAAGUCAGAUGGAAUAGGUUAUUAAACUUCUGGUGGGUACCAUUGCUAUCUUCCGAGCACGAAAUGUCAACACGGUUUUCCCUAUCGCUCCAGCUAUUGCGCAAUUGGUGGAAAAAUUUGCGAGUGUUUGGAAGAGCCUUGGACAAAGACCAUGGAGAUGGAAACUGACUGAUCGAUAGUGACUGGCUGCCGGUGAUAUGAAGCUAGAGAACGAGCCAGCUGCUUUGCUGGGGGAGCUUGUGUGGUUCACCAUUUUUACAGACAUUAUCAAACCACUCAAAGUCUCUGUCCACAAUUGUGGAGGAAAGGAGAGCAAGCUUUGGUCAAAGGAAGAGACUUAAAUGAGGGUUGAGAGUCCAUUGCUCGAAAGCCAUUGAUUAUGAUGAUGAUCGAAUUAUCUUAUUCGUCAACUAUGUGUGCCAAAUCUUUCCUACAAGUUGUAUUUGAGAACUACUUUCAUGUUAUCGAAGCACAAGAGCCAUGGUCAAGUUCAAUCAAACUCUUGUAGACCCUCAUUUCACAGCUUGUCCAGCCCAUCGAGAACAUUACAGGCCUAUUUGGUUCUUGAGAUAGUUUCAUUCGACGAAACUGUGUCGUAGGUUGUAUUUUGAAAGUUCACAUGGAUGUAGAAUCUUGUGUGAUAGGGCAAGAUAAAAUCAUUUUGCAAAAUCUUGGUCUUAAGAAUCCAAGAUAAAAAAUGUUAUGCAAUUGACAUAGCAUGUCCUUAGUGACUAACACUAAACUCCUGAUGACCCAAGUAUUAGUGGGGGCAAUUGCUGCAUACCCAAAUGCAUUAGACCCCAUGCAUGCAAUACGUCGGAUAAUUUGAGUCUCACUAGGAAUUCGUAAGAUCCGAGAAAUCUUGUUUACUGGAUCUAUAUUUUCUGGCUGCGGCCAAUAAUUUUCUGUACCAAUGGCCCCCACAUGCCCUUUUGAGUUUGCUCCCGCACUAUCAUGGUUGAGAUUUCGUGGUUUAAGCUUCACAAUGAACCUCAAAAGUUACUGUCCUUCCUUGUUCAAAGGUGCGUGAUGAAACGAAUUUAUCGCGCUUGUGAUGGGAAACGGUCAGACACUUGAAGAGUCCCAAACAAUCCAUUCCUCACGAAACAAAAUUGUAAUGAAAAAGAUCUUUGGGUGAAAACAAUUGAAAACGUCCCAUUUAUUAUUUUCACUCUUUCCACGAGGACCCGGCCAAAAUCAGAACAUGGUUUUGACAAAAAUGAAACUAUAGUUCUCGGUUAGAAAACAUGUUUUUUUUUCUUUUCUAAUCAAACACAAUAAUUACGAAUAUACAAAAGUAAAAACUAAAAUUAUUCUCAUUUUCAUAGGCAUAUUUUGAGAAAUCACGUGCGGUCUAUAUAGAAAAUUAAAGCAGUGACUGAUGUUGAAUCUGCCUUGAUCUUAGCUAUUGGGCCUUAAUGGAACUUAUUACAAAAAACCCAUUGUCCAGUUGAACCAAAGGUUAUAGAUGCUAUAACAAAACUUCGUAAGAAAAUAACUAGAGAAAUCUAUGAAGAUCGAAUUAGGUCUCAAGAAGAAAAUUGGUCUACGAACCACAAGAAAAGUGGAAAUGAAAGCAAUGUAGUUUCGAGUGAAUGGAUACUCCAAGAUAGAACAAGAAAAGUUGAAUCCGAUUAAUUCAACUUCUAUGAUUUUGGAAUAAUUAGAAAAUUACAAAAAACGAAACUAUUCAUUUUGAGCAACAAAGUUCGAUUUAAUCAAAUUUGACAACAGGUUUUCUAACAAGUCUUAUAAGGAGCUUUUGGAACUCUGAAUAGUUGGUUGAAUAACGAGUUACAUUACUUGCCCUGCCCUCGACUGUCUGGCGGGAUCUGGGUGCACGCACCAUAGCCCCACCAUCAUCAAGCACUUCAUCUCCUCCUAUGGGAACUCCGAGUGCAACACCUCGUCAACCGCGCGCCGAGGACGUUGCCAGCAAGGUAUAGUUGCCAGACCCACUCGUGCAAUGAGACCUGGAUCUCUAUUCUCAUAGCUCCUCUGGCCAUGACGCCAAAGCUAAACAUGUCGGACUCCGGGUUGGCCUUCCCUCCAAUAAAGUACUUUGGCGCUAGAUACCCACAAGUCCCAACCACGUCUGCCGUCUGAGUCCUGAACCGGGGGUCGACAAGCUUGGCCACUCCAAAGUCGGCAAGCUUGGUGCUGAAGUUGGAGUCGAGUAGUACAUGGGCUGCCUUUAUGUCCUGGUGGAGCACAUAUUGCUCGAGAUCAUCGUGGAGACAGUUGUGGGCAGAUGCGAGGCCGAGUGCCACCUUGUACCACACGUCUCAGGGCAGGCUUCUCCGGGCCCCAAAGGGGUGAUUGAGGCUGCCAUUGGGCAUAUACUCAUAGAUAGCUAAGUUCACUCCUAUGUGGAGGAAGCUCAAUGAGUUGCAAGCCCAAAAAAGGUUUGAGCUCAUAUAAUAAGUUAUAUGGAGAAAUAGGUUUCUUACUAUCAAAAAGUGGUAGCCACAAAAAGACACGGUAACAAGAAAAAAGAGAGAAAGCAGAAAAUCUGAGAGUUGAGGCAAUAUCUGAUUUACAUUAAGCUGGCAUCAGAGGUCGAUUCAUGGUCCGAUUGAGCUGAAAUUUUGUUAGCAUGUCGUGGCUCAAUCUGGAAUCUGAACGAUUUGAUUUUCAUUUGAAGCUGCCUCCAUCAGGUUUUUCAUGGAUUGAUCAAAACAUGCGUUUUUGGUCAGAUUUAUUCUUUGAUUUCUUGUGAAAUUCAUGUGUAUUGCCAAGAAUUAUGUUCUUGAGGUUUUUGCUACUAUAUGUACCUCUAGUAUUUGCUAGAGAAUAACAUUGUUCACCCAAUUUUGUUGAUAGUGAAGAUUUUCCGGUGGACCCUUUUUUUAUCUCCUCACAUCGAGGAGGUUUUUCACAUAAAAAAAUUGUCUUCUAUUCACGUGCUUGGUAUUUAUUUUACUUUACUAUAUCGAUUCUUAUUAAGUUUACACAAGAUGAGAGAUUAUUUUAUUCUGCCGCGUUAAUUCGAUAUUGUUUGAAUUGUUACCAUUCUCCGAUCAAGAACGGCACAAGGUUUCCGUGAAUCGUGCGGCUUACGAUCUUCACCUCAUUGACGAGAACCUUUGCAUUGGGAUUCCGUGAAGAUCGUUUUGACAGCAACCAAGCAGCCUGAAUGGCUCAAGAACCCUUUAUAGAUUUGGCCAGACUCACCUCGGCCAAGCCUUCGAAUGCACCGAUAAAUUGUUUUUUGGGGGGGGGCGACAAAAAUUUUUAUUCAAAAUUUCUUCACCCCAAAAAAAACACGCCCCCGGGGGCCCCCCCCAAAAAAAAGUGGGGGGGGACCCCCCCCCCUUAAUUUUAAGGGGGGGGAUGGGUGGGCCCCCCCCCCCCCCCCCCCCCCCCCCCCCCCGCAACAACCUUCGGCGCCGAUUUAUCCAUCGAUGGUGGCAGAUCUACCACGUCCAAAUCUGAAGUGAAUUUCCAUGAAUUGAUUCUGUGUCUCUCCACAUAGAAGCCGAAUGAAGCUGAAAACCCGAUCGCAACUGAUUCGGGAAGGACACUCGCAAGAUCAAUUUAGCAAGAAAGUGAGGAAUGGCCCUUAUCCUGGAAAGCCCGUUUGUCCUCAAAUGACCAGGACACUCUGAGGUUCUUGCUCGUGGAAUUGUAGACCACCAGAACAUCGGUCGCCGCUGUGCAGGCUGGGAUCCCAGCCAGUAUAAACAACCGAUGAGAGCCCGUUCUUAUUGAUUCCAAUGUGAUGCACUGGGGGAUCGAACUCUGGGUUCACGUAAGUGUUGAACUCGACCAUGACAAUCCGGUUUCGAGGCCCUUCACUGGCCAUGCUUGCAUUGAAUAAUCCCAGGAAUCCACCACCCGAGUUGGGCAGGAUCGGCAUGCCGGCGGGAGCAAGGAAAAAGGCGAUGCCAUCAUCAUACAGCCCAGAGCUGUCGUUGUCAAUAGCGAACGGAAAACGGGUCGUCGUUGUCAAUAGUGAACAAAAAACGGAUCGAGAAGUCCGCUUGCCACCCCGUGAGAGGAUCCCAUACGGGGACAGGCUUGGCAUGCUGGAUCCGGCCCACCUGGAAAUUUGGUGGAGUAUUGCAUUUGGUGAGAUCGACAUACCCUGCUCGGCAUACUAGAGACGGGCUUUGGUCAGAAUCGGAUCAACUGAACCGCAAGAUCGCUACAUCACAUUUGAGUGCUCUACAAGGAUGGUGAGUAUACCUGGCGGACCUAAUACGACGAGCGUUCAUAGAUCAAGCAACUUCGAUGAUGGUUCGUUGUUUUCUAAAAAAGUAAAUGGAGCAAAUUCGUCACGAUGAGAAUCAGUCUUGAGGUGGGUAUCAUUGCUAUCUUCCAAAUAAGUGAUGGAGCAUUGUCAAACUUGGGGUAGGCGUCACUUGGGCGUGUCCCAUUACUGGACCAUCCACGACCCAGAGGCUUGACUCUUGAGCUAAUUUCUUGUACCAUCACUUGCGCGUCCUAUUGAGAGCUGUACUAUCCAAUUUAAGACGGUAUGACUAGAAUCUAUUGCCGCUGAUAUUUGUCAACUGGGGAAAAUUUGCAGGUGUUCUAGAGAGCCGCGGAUGAAGACCGUGGAGAUGGAAACUGACCGAUUGAUCUCCCGAGUUGACUGGCUUUCGAUAAUACAACGGGAGCGAGCGAGCGACCGCGGAUCGGUGUUUUUGCAUUCGCCAGGAGAGCUUCUGCGGUUCACCUCUUUAACAGAAAUUAUCAGACCGGUCGACGUGUCUGUCUACAAGUGUGUAGGAAAGGAGCGCAUGCUAUUGUUAGAUGAGCUGCGAUUUGCAGGGACGUGAAGAGCGGUUGAUAGUCCAUUGCUUCGAAGCCACUGAUUAUGACGAACACUACGAACCCAAAAAACAAAAAGAAGAGCCGAAGAUAGUUUUCUAGCUGCAUCAUCAUUAUGCCACGUCACUGUGCACGUCGUCAAUGCCAUGUCAUCAUGCCACGUCAUUAAUACCAUGUCGUCAUGUGUGCCAUGCCAUCGCCAUGUCAUCGAAAUAUGCCAUGUCAUUGCUUGCAUGUCAUUGAUUGAUUGUAUGUUAGGUUCAUAAAAUUGUAUGCCAUGCUAGAAUAGUGCCAUAAAAUUGAUUACCGCAAGCCACAUUGGAAUAGACAUACUUAGUACGUCGUCGUGUUUAGAGUACUUGCAUUACAUAUAUUACAUACAUUACAUUUUAGCGUUAGCUUUCACUAGAUAAGAGAAAACCUUAAAAAGGAUUUGAGUAGAAUUGUCUGUUAAUUAGAAAUCAUAUUUAUGUUGUUAAGAAUGUAAUUAUCUAAUAAAAUUUACAGUUGCUUACGUUACUUCAAGGUAAGUAAAUCUAUUCCUUACCCUUGCAAUCUAUUCAUCACUUUAAGUAUAUAAUGUUUCAUUAAUGGUCGUGUCACGCCCCGAUCUUCAAACGCGCACAUCUUUCUACUUGGUCAAUUUAUGAAUGCGAUAUCCCAAGACUAUGUAUCGCCGACCCUUUGCUUUUAUUAAGUACAUGCGGAAGCAAUUAUAAAUCCUCAGACAAUAAAACAAUGGGAUAAGAAAGCAAGCCAUAUUUUUCAUAUUGAAAUUCACAACCACACUUUUAUUAACAACACAACUCAUAGUACAUUUACAAUACUAUUCAUAUGUAACAUCCCGAUUUUCCAAGUCUAUUUUCAAUAAAUUGAGACGGGCAUUUCGUUGGCACGUAUAUAGUUCUUUUCCUUGAGUCGGCCACUCAUGUGAAAGCUAGUCUAUCGGGUGAAGCUGUUAAGAGUUUAUAAUGCAUCAGACUCGAGAAUUUGAUCAGGAAACGACCUUUCGACCGAGCUAAUCUGCAAGGGUCAUUACGGCACAAUUAAAGAUCGAUUAGAGAUCGGAGAUAGGACGACUCGACAGAGGCAUGUGAUCAGGUGUGGGUGAUUCCACUAGAUCACACAAUUCUUGUUGAUCGGCACUGGACCGACUUUUCUAUCGAUUGGGUACCCUGUGUUCGUAUUUGAAACCUUGAGAUUACCCCGACAACCGAAAGUCGCCAAUGUUUCAAAGAUGUACAUUGUGGCUUGAGAUGAUCAACCACAGGUCAAAUGCAUGAAAGUUUCUAAAGGCUACCCGGUAGGUUGGGCUGCGCUAGUAUUGUGCCAAAGUGAAAUUAACCGUGGAAUUGAGAUCGAAUUCAGAAAUUGGAGGUCUGGGUAUGUCACAAAUCAUUUUAGGAACAUUGACUAAUCUUUGGAAAGAUUUUUCAUGCAAACCGAGUUUUUCAGCAAAAUAAUCAGAGAAUGGCUAAUUUGGCUCGAGAAAUUAGUAGGCGCAUCUUUGGUAACGUUUUUGGGACUUAGGUUGGUUCUAUGGACAAGUGAAGAUGUGAAUUAAAGUGNNNNNNNNNNNNNNNNNNNNNNNNNNNNNNNNNNNNNNNNNNNNNNNNNNNNNNNNNNNNNNNNNNNNNNNNNNNNNNNNNNNNNNNNNNNNNNNNNNNNNNNNNNNNNNNNNNNNNNNNNNNNNNNNNNNNNNNNNNNNNNNNNNNNNNNNNNNNNNNNNNNNNNNNNNNNNNNNNNNNNNNNNNNNNNNNNNNNNNNNNNNNNNNNNNNNNNNNNNNNNNNNNNNNNNNNNNNNNNNNNNNNNNNNNNNNNNNNNNNNNNNNNNNNNNNNNNNNNNNNNNNNNNNNNNNNNNNNNNNNNNNNNNNNNNNNNNNNNNNNNNNNNNNNNNNNNGAAGCCGCCGGACCUCACGCCCUUGCCCGUCAGCUGUCGUCGCCGCCGCCUGUGCCGCCCGCGCUCGUUUACCGGUCAGCUCCCCUCCCCGUUCCGCCUCAGCCCGCGUCCCCAGCAGAUUUGAGAACCCCGAACCAGCAAGCCGAAGACCAGUUGAAGCCAGCAGCUCCACUCGUCGCCGGAGCUCACCGCCGCCGCCGUCGUCCGUGCGCAAAGCUCGCGCGCCCGCGUGUCACCUCGCUGGACAGCCGUCGCGCGCUGCUCCGCCCUGCUCGCCCGGUCCCGAGCUCCUUCCCCUCCGUCUAGCCGUCGUCGCCGUCGCUAGGGUCGCCGUCAGCCUCGUCGGAGCUUCGCCCGAGCUGCCGCCCCUCUUCUCCGCCGUUCCUCCGCCCAUCUCGGCGCCGGAUCUGCUCCCUCUCGGCCCCAAGCAGAAUCUGGAAAAAUGGGUAUGGCAGCGGGUGUUUGGCCCGUUUUGGCCGUCUUCCCGAGCCCGGAUGCUCGGCCCGCUUUGAGGAAAGUUGAUCCUCGCGUCGUCCCCGUCGUUUUGGUCUGCUCGGCUCGCUAAUCCGGUGAGUUUAACUCACUAAAUCUUGAUUAGACGGUUAAUUAUGCCCUAAGUGUGCUUAGUCUAAGUUAAGCAAGUUUAUGUGGAUAUUUGAGUUUAUUUAAUUGUGAUUUGGGUUAAAAGGUUUGGUUUAAUUUAAAGGGUAUUUAAUUAAAGGUUAAGAUAGUUUAUUUAAUAAUAAACCUUGAUGGGACAUAAUAGGGUUUUAAUUUUGAAUUAUUUAAUUGCUUCGAAAUUCUGGAAAUUUAUAAUAUUAUAUUAAUUCCGAAAUUAUUAAAAUAUUAUUAUAAAAAAAAAGGAAAAUUUAUUUUUGAUCCCGGUUGUUCAGAAUUUCGUGCCGGUCGUUGCUGUGUAGUCGGAUUUUGAAAUUGAUGAUUGGAUAUUAUAAAUUGAGCGUGGAUCUUGAAAAAUAUGAAUAUUAUUAUUUAAUUAUUUUCGGAAUAAAUUUAAUUAUUUAAUAAAUUCCGAAAAUUUUGUCAAGACCCUAAACUCUCAGAAUUUCGUGCCGAUUGCUGCUGUGCAUUUAGAAUUUGAUAUUGAUGAUUGGUUGUGAUGAAUUGAGUGUGAUUGCGAUUUAUAGGGAUUCUUUAUGAAAUCCUAAGUGUAGAAAUUGAUGGGAGAUUGGCUGUGAUUGACCACCUAUUAGAGGUCGUGCCCAGUGAGGCCGUGAAAUACCACCUAGGAAAGAUCGUGCCCGAUGAGGCCGUGAAAUACCACCUAGGAAAGGUCGUGCCCGAUGAGGCCGUGAAAUACCACCUAGGAAAGGUCGUGCCCGAUGAGGCCGUGAAAAACCACCUACGAGAAGUUGUGCCCGAUGAGGCCGUGAAAUACCACCUACAAGAGAUCGUGCCCGAUGAGGCCGUGAAAUACCACCUACAAGAGGUUGUGCCCGAUGAGGCCGUGAAAUACCACCUAUUAGAGGUCGUGCCCAGUGAGGCCGUGAUAAACCACCUAUGAGAGGUCGUGCCCAGUGAGGUCGUGAUAAACCACCUAUGAGAGGUCGUGCCCGAUGAGGCCGUGAUAAACCACCUAUGAGAGGUCGUGCCCGAUGAGGCCGUGAUAUGCCACCUAUUAAAGGUCGCGCCCAGUGGGGCCGUGAAUUGCCACCUGUUAAAGGUCGUGCCGAGUGGGGCCGUGAUGCCAUUGAUUUAAAUUUGCCGAGUAGGGCCGUAGUUGAGAGCAAUGAUUGAUUUGCUAGAAUGACAUGUAAUCGGCCGAGUCGAUUGAUCGCUGAGACGAUCCAAGUGGUUGAAUGGUUUGAUAAUGUGAUUGUGCCAUGGUUGUUUGGUUAUCAUAAUUGCAUGUGGUUGGUUCACAUAAAUUGUGCUAACCUGCAGAUAAAGGCUGAGGCGAGGUAAGUCCUCUGUGUGAUGUGGCUAGGCCACCCGGGGCGUAUUUUCUUUCUAAUAGGGGUUUAGGGGGUUGAACUUGCUGAGACAUCGUCUCAUCCCAGUUGUGGGAUUAAAAUUUUAGGUCCCUGGUGGACGGAGCAACCAGAUAGCUUUGGUUGGCCUUGAGGAGUUGCAGAGGUGAAGUCAUAAGGAUUGGAGAGCAUGCCCGACUUGUAGGUCGUAGGACAAUUCCUUUUUAAGGGCCGGUCUUUUGUAGACUGUUGGCCGUAGACCUCUGUUUGUAAUUCUGUUGAAUUAUGGAAGUGUUAUGUUGUGAUUUGGUUUCCUGCCUUUCUAUCCCGUAUUUUAUUGUCAGGGGUUUUAUAAUACGUUCCGCUUGCGCAAUAAAGAAAUGAAUGGGGUCGGCGACACUACCUGGGAAGGUCGCUUUUGAUCGACCGCAGUGGGAUGUGCUCGCGCUCGGGGUUCGGGGCGUGACGUCAUAGCUUACUUGUCUCACACCUAUCUAUACUAAGACAGGGUUCACAAAAGGGAUGGGAUCUCAAUCCACAUUCGGGUUAUACUCAAGAUCCCUAUCUGGAUCAUCUGCUCCUUCAAAAGUCUUUCUCCCCUUCAGGUUCCUCCUCCUCAGUUUCUCCUCAGGGUCCUGAAAUGGUUAUUCAAUAACCAAUGAGACCACGUCUCAGCGAAUUCUACUCCCUAAUACCCGAUUAGUAAACUAAUACACCUUAGGCUGCCUAAGCACAUCACAAGUCAGAGGACUUACCUUGGCCUCAGCUCCUUCCUACAAGUUAGUAUAUAUAUCAAAUAUACGUCAUCACAUCACAUCACCCAAUCAGAUCGAAUCGUCGAUCAAUCGAUCUAGUCGAUUAUAUGUCAUCCAAAUUAUCGCUUGAUCGACCCCUUCCAUACUUUCUAUAAGUCUGAUUAACACCCACGACUACUCACCCUAGGUGAUAUAUAGAUAGUAUGUUAUCUUAUCUCCAGACGACAUAUAGAGUCAUCGAGCUAUCAAAUCAUACCGUACUGUCUCAAGAUGAUCUGUAGGAUUAUCGAGCCGGUAAAUCAUACCGUACUGUCUCAAAAUGCUCCGUGGAGUCAUCGAGCCGGUAUACACACAAUUUAUCAUACCGUACCGUCUCCAGAUGCUCCGUAGAGUCAUCGAGCCGGUAGAUCAUACCGUCCUGUCUCAAGAUGCUCCGUGGAGUCAUCGAGCCGGUAUACACACAAUUUAUCAUACCGUACUGUCUCCAGAUGCUCCGUAGAGUCAUCGAGCCGGUAGAUCAUACCGUCCUGUCUCAAGAUGCUCCGUGGAGUCAUCGAGCCGAUAUACAUGUCAUUCCAAGCAAACAAUCAAAUAACCAGUUUUAUCAUUCCCGAUAAAAUGCCAUGAGUGGGUACUCGAUCGGCCCUAAUCAAAAUAUAAUAGUUUCCUUUUUAUAAAUUCCACAAUUUUCUGUAGUCCACUCAGAUCCUUUUGGCAUUAUCAACCGAUGCCUAGUUCUUUUUCAAUUAAUAAUCAAAGAUUAUUCAAUUAAAAAAUAAUUCCUUCUUUCACAAAUAAUUCAAUUCAGCAUGAAAUAGGGCUCAAUUAAAUAAACGGACUGCACACGACAAUCAGCAUAAAAUUCCGGUCACCAGCCAUCCCGGUUGAAUUUCCGGAAAAAUAAAUAAAUAAUUAAUUAAUUUCGAAAAAUAAAAUAGAUAAAUACUAAAAAUCCAAUUUAGGCCCGUAAUACCUGAUUGGAUGCCAAAACGGAUCGGGAAAAAUCCCGAGAUACGUUCAAUAAAUAAUAGAAACUCUCUACUUGCUAAUGACUAAGUCUAACCACCUAACAUGCAUCAUUAAGCCACUAAUUUAAUUGUUCUAGACUAAUCUAACCACCUAAUUGCAUUUAAUUAAAUCUAACCAACCCCUAAGCAUAAUUAGCAAACUAAGAAAGCAUUAGUGAGUAAAAUUCACUUGAGCAAAGCAAAUAUCGGAACACUGCGACGGCGGCCGAAAUCCGAACUUUCGGCGGCGUCAACGGACACUCGGGCCGGGCCCAAAGAUCUUGCCUCGUGGGCUUGGGCUUCAAAAGGACUUGCUGGACUUCACUGGACUGGGCUUGAAUCAAGACUGAACAUGGGCUUCAAAUGGACUGAAGCUUGCUGUGAAUGGGCUUGAACCAGAAAAGAAUCUGCUGGGCCGAAGACUGCUGAAAUCAUGGGCUUCCAAUGGGCUUGCGGCUGAACUCACGAAGGAGCUGGGCAGAGUCUCACAUGGGCCGCAGACUGACUGGAUUCACGGGCCUGCUUCGUGGACUGGAGUUGCCGUGGCUUCAAUUGCAGGGCCGAUCCACGAGCUGGCGAAGAAAGAGACGAAGACGCUGAAGCUGCAGGCGUUGGAUUUGCUGGCAUCGAGCUGCGGACGACGCCGGAUUUGCUCGAGCUGUUUGGGGACGUCUCGUAGAAGCGAGAAGUGGGUUGGCGUGUGUUGUUACGGAAGAUGGGAGCACGCGGACAAAUGGCCGAAGCUGCUGGAGUUGGCCAAGGUUUCGUGGAUGCUGCUCAGUCAAACAUCAAAGCCAGCGAGAGUGUUUUGACCGAGGGAGACCAACGUUAGUGGAGAUGGGCGUUGGUAGCUUCGGUCUUCGUGGGGAGGAGACGCAGGCGCUGCUGUUGGAGGAGAAGACCACGUGGCUGAGAGAGGCGGAGAAGCGGACGAGGGAAGCAGCAACUGCUUCGCUUUGGUGAUGUUGAGCCCGUGAAAUUCGCUGGAUGAGGACUGCACGAAUUCGGGGGAAUCACGGUCAACAAAUCUGUAGAAGCUGAACCCGAAUCUGCUGGACUCACGGCUGAAUUCUCCAGCGUUGUUCGGUUGAGGACACGUGCAGAUGGAGGAGUUUCGGCGGAUGAAGGGCACGUGAGAAGUCAACUUCGGUGGAGGAACUUGUUGGGUUGUUGACUCGGUUUGCUGCGGCAGAAGACCAUAGAUUGUGGGAGAGCAGCUUCGGUCACCGCCUGGGAAAAUCUUGCGACCGUGCUGGCAGUCGAAGGAAAAGAAGCGGACGCGUGGGGAUUUCUUCGGUGGACUUGCUUCGUGGAAUUUUUGGGGCUGCUUCAGUCAACUAAAGCUUCAAUGGUUGACUGGAGAUGGGUGAUUUGCAGACGAGUGGCAGCUUGGCAUGGGAUGAGGCGCGCGAGUGAAGAAUUCUAGCGUGAGUGGUGUCUGCUGGAGGGGAAAAAUGGUGAAGACGGCAGCACAUGGAGGGAGAGAGAACAUGGAACGAAGGCGACGGCCACAGGGGUUGUUCGGUGGAAAUUUUUACUGGAUAAUUUAAACGAAGGAGACAACAGAAGAUGGAGGUCGGCAGCUUGGUCCGCACGAAGGAGGGGAAUAGAUAAGGAUGAGUGCCCCAAAAGUCCACAACUUGGCCUGUUUGGUUCAAUUUUGGGGAAAUGCAAAGUCAUUUCCCCAAGUAUCCUUGACUAAAUGGGCAUUCUCGGAAUGCAAACGUGUUUGGAAGUGUAUAUUUUGCAAAGUAAUUUUCAGGUGAAAAAAAAAGGAAAAAAAGAAAAGAAAAGAAAAUGGAGAAGGAGAUGGAGCUGCGUGAUCGCGGGGGAGCGGCUGGUGGCGGUGGCGCUGGUGGUGGUGGUGGUGGUGAAGCGGUGGUGGUGGCGAUGGUGGGGAGGCAGCUCGCCCGCGGUCGCCGGACCUCAGGCCACCUCGGCUGAGCCCGGCGGCCAGAUCUGGCCCUCUAGUGGCCAAGCGUCGCCCACCGCGAAGAAGAAGACGAACGACGAAGAAGAUGGGCGGGGAAGAAGACGAACGGCGAAGAAGAUGGGCGGUGAAGAAGGCGAUGAACAGUAACUCGAAAUUGCAUCUCCAGAAUGGGAAUGCUCAAACUAGCCCCAACCCAGCAUUGGGGAUGCUGACAAUGGGCAAAUGGGCAUUCAAAAACACAUGCCAAACACAAAAUAUUUUCCCCAAGGGGGAGGGGAAUAGAUAAGGAUGAGUGCCCCAAAAGUCCACAACUUAAUCUCUUCCAUUAAAACCUUGUCCCCUCUAAUUCUUUCUAGAAUAUAAUUUCACCAUUUAUUCCAAAUUAAAGCAAAAAAUGCAGCCCUUAGUCCAAUUCCGAAUUUCCUUAAUUUUUGGCUACAAUUUCUUCAUUUGAUUCUCCAAAUCAACGUCAAAUUUUGCUGAAGAAAAAUCCCGAAUAAUUUUCUAUAAGUCCUUGACACUCAAAGGCUUGGCUUGGAAGUCCAAAUUUCCUUUAAUUGAGUCCAUUCGAAUUUCCGUUAAUUUCCGCGACGUCUGAAUCGAUUUUUCGAAAAAAUCCCAGAAUCUCCGAAAAAUCUUCUAAGACCAAGUCAACGUUCCUAAAAUAGCUCGUGACACCACAGAACUUUCAAUUUCUGAAAUUUGGUUCGAAUUCACGAUUAAUUUCCAUUCGACGCGUUUUUAGUGUGACCUAGACUACCGAGUAACUUUCAGAACUUUUCAGUGCAAAUGACCCGUGGUCGAUUUUCUUCGAGCCACUAUGAACCCACUCGACUCAUUGGCGACUUUCGAUUGUCGUGAAAAUCUCGAGAAUUCAAGUACGGACACAGGGUACCAAAACGAUAAGAAAAUCAGUCUAGUGUUGGUCGACGAGAAUUUUCCAAUUUAGUGGUGUCACCCACGAUUAGCCACACAUCUCAAUUGAACCAACCUGUAUCUGAUCUCAAAUCGAUUUAUAUCUGUACCAUAAUGGUCUCGACAGAUGAGCACGGUCAAGAAGUCGAUUCACGGUCGAAUUCUCAAGUCUAUUUGCCUUAAAAUUCUUAAUGACUUCUCCAAAUAGUCUAGUUAUCUUGAGAGUGAUCAGCUCUAAGAACAACUCUAUAGACGCAUCAAUGAAAUGCCCGAUUUAUUCAAUAGAAAACAAGACUGAAAAUGUAGGAUGUCACAGGUCGUGCACGUGCAUGAUUACCUCGCAUCUUAGUGAAGAGGUUUAAAUUCAAUCCAAGUCCCCUGCCAAAUAUUUUUUGAACAAAAGAGGAAGUUAUCAAAAGGGUAUUGGAGUAUUCAAGCAUAAUCACGUCCCCGAAUCCAUAAUCUAUGGUUCGCAGGGAUAAAGUAUAUCUCCCAAUGCUUUACCUAGGUGUCUACUCAACCCACCAAAAACUAAUUAAUAGUGAUUUCUAAAUAAAAAUCAUUGGCAUAUUAAGAACUUAAAUCUAAGUCUCGAAUCGAUAGGGGCUUGGGAAAGCUCGAGCUAAGUUAAGCUUGUAAAUUCAUAAGCUCAACCCUAGGUGGUUCACUCCGAGGUAGGUCGCGACACACUUUAGUUCCAAAUUUGCUUAUGCAACCCUCCAUCCAAAAAUUCCACUGAUUUCUUUAAAAUUAUCAACAAGAGGAGGUUAAUGUUGUUCCAUACAAAAGUAAGGGUACUAAAGAAAUGUAGGUUCUAAUAAUGACCCUCUAAGCAAUCUUGAUUUGAUGAUUUUGAAGAAACUAAUAGCAAUUUUUGGACGUGCGGAUAGAUGUGGAACUAGCGUGAAAGGUGAUGGUUGUUUUAAUAUAAAAACUAGUUCAGGGCAAAAUUAAGAUUACUCUAAAAUUGGGAGUUUUUUUUUUUUUAAUUUUUAAAUUUAGGGAAUUGGGCUUAUUUGAAAAUGGCAUUUGGAUGGAUAUAAUUGUAAAAUCAAAAUCAUAACAAUCCAUUAUUUUGAAUUAGACCUUUCUGCUUUUCAUCAUACAAUUAUAACCUUAUGCAUCUCCAGGUUCAGAUUAUCAAAGAGAAAAUCGGCCUCAACUAAAUUCAUCAUGUCUUUCUAUAAUUUUUGCAUGUCCUAUUUAAGUGACACGUUGAGUUGAUUUCAUAUGACAUACGUUUAAGUCACGUAAAGAACCUGUCUAGAGUGAUUUUUAUGCUAACUUUUGACUUUGUACUCCAUAUAAAUUUCUGAAACUCACAUGAAAUGAUUGGAAACUUUUCAAAAUAGUUACAUAUCGAUAUUGAUACUUCUACCUUUUCUUGUUAUCUUUGAAAUAUUAGUGCAAAAUCUAUCCGGAAAUGUACGAAUUCCAUUCUACCCUUUCUUGUUAUCUUUGAAUAUUCGUGCAAAAUGUAUCCGGAGAUGGACGAAUUUCAAAUGCUUUUAUCAUAUUUUCUACUUGAGUUCAAGUGAAUUCAGUGCUUCCAGCUUUUAGAUUACGAGAGCUCAGGAAUGUUUUAUUUUCCCUGGAAAAAGAUGCCAUGGACGAUUUCGAAGAUAUUGGCCAUGGCAGCAGUGCCAGAGCAACGAUGGACGAGUUACCUUGUUGGGGACAUCGAUUCUUCGACUUAACCCCAAAAAGGAGCCUACGUUCCUGCGAAGCAGCCUCGCUACAACCCAGACGAGACGUCGAUGUUCCUUGUUGCCCUCGCGAUCUUGAGUCAGGCUUUCGGCAUCCGCUUAUACACCAACUCGACCUAAAUGAAAGUCCUGCUCACUGUGGUGAAUUAGUAGUGUCCAGUGUACUCUUGCAUGCAGCUUUCCGUCUCAUUGAAAUGAGAACCUCCAACUUUUUCAUCUGUAUUCUCUCCGACGUGAUGAACGCACUCGCUUCUUUAUAUCGGUAAUUUGAAGAGAGAUACAAGUAAUUUAACUGAAAAUUUUCUUUUCGUAGUGUUCUGUUUAUGCCGAUGUAAGCAAUGUAUGUUAAGCGAUACCAAGUCCCCCAUGAUGUUCUCAAUUGCAAACAACAAAUUUGGGCAAGGCAAACGAGAUGGUAACCGAACUACAGUUGAUGCAGCAGAAUGUGCAGAUUUUAGUCAGCAAGUGUUGCCGUAUGACUUUAGGAGACAGGAUUUGUCUAGCUUCCUAAACACAGAUUCUUGAAUAGGAGGAGCAGAUGGAGAUUCCAGUAUUCCUAAUUGCGAAGCCGAUGGCCGGUGUGAAACUGGACCGUUGAACGCGUCGUGCGGCAGCUCGGGGACUGAGUCCUCCAGCUGGAGGAACCUGAUCACUUGCCCCGCCUUUGGCCUUCUCGCGGGGUCGGGGUGCACGCACCACAGCCCCACCAUCAUCAGGCACUCCAUUUCAUCCCUCCGGAACCCUGAGCCCAAGGCCUCAUCAGCAGCGCCGAGGAUGUUGCUGGCGCGGUAGAGUUCCCAGACCCACUUGUGCAACGCGACCCAGACCCCUCCGUCCUCAUAGCUCCUCCGGCCGCACGCAAUCUCCAGGGCCACCACGCCGAAGCUGAACAUGUCGGACUCCUUCGUGGCCUUCCCACUAAUGAAGUACUCUGGCGCCAGGUACCCGCAAGUCCCAACCACGUCUGUUGUCUGAGACCUGAACCUGGGGUCAAUGAGCUUGGCCACUCCGAAGUCGCCGAGCUUGGUUGUGAAGUUGGUGUCGAGCAGCACGUUGGCUGCCUUUAUGUCCCGGUGGAGAACCCAUUGCUCGAGCUCCUCGUGGAGGUAGUUAAGGGCGGAUGCCAGGCCAAGCGCCACGCCGUAUCGCACAGCCCACGGCAGGCUUCUCCGGGGCCCAAAGAGGUGGUGGUCGAGGCUGCCAUUGGGCAUGUACUCGUAGACGAGCAAGAACUCACCUUCCUCUUGACACCACCCAACAAACGGCACCAGGUUUCUGUGUAUUGUUCGGCUUAUGAUCUUCACCUCGUUGACAAAGACCUUCUCGGAGUGUCGGGACUCCGCAAAGAUCCUUUUGACGGCGACCAGGCGGUUCGAAUGGCUCAAGAACCCUUUAUAGACUUGGGCAGACCCGCCUCGGCCCAGCCUUCUAUCGUCUGCGAAGCCAUUGGUCGCCGCGAGCAACUCCUGAUAAGUGAACUUCGUAGGCAAUGCGCCAAUCUCUUUAUCUAUGUCGGUAAGGGCGCUAUAACCAUGCUUUUCCCUCCUCUUGACGGCUAAAAAGCAAGAACUUGCGGAGAUCACCAGUAAAAAACAUGUCGUGGGAACAACGACCAGUAUCCAUAACCGGCGAGGUUCAUCUACGUCGUCCAAAUCCGAAGUGAACUCCCAUGAAUUGACGCUGUGUCUCUCUGGAUGUUCGCCGAUAGAAGCUGAGAACCCGAUCACUGCAGAUUCAGGAAGGACUCUUGCCAGAUCAACAAGGCAAGAAAGCGAGUGAUUGG